RNAcentral lists this ribosomal RNA (497 nucleotides) under uncultured bacterium. Its description in RNAcentral is "partial 16S ribosomal RNA". It matches the Rfam family "Bacterial small subunit ribosomal RNA", at positions 28 to 507 of the family's 1533-position model. The record is from RNAcentral.
GAUGAACGCUGGCGGCGUGCCUAAUACAUGCAAGUCGAGCGAACAGACGAGGAGCUUGCUCCUCUGACGUUAUCGGCGGACGGGUGAGUAACACGUGGAUAACCUACCUAUAAGACUGGGAUAACUUCGGGAAACCGGAUCUAAUACCGGAUAAUAUAUUGAACCGCAUGGUUCAAUAGUGAAAGACGGUUUUGCUGUCACUUAUAGAUGGAUCCGCGCCGCAUUAGCUAGUUGGUAAGGUAACGGCUUACCAAGGCAACGAUGCGUAGCCGACCUGAGAGGGUGAUCGGCCACACUGGAACUGAGACACGGUCCAGACUCCUACGGGAGGAAGCAGUAGGGAAUCUUCCGCAAUGGGCGAAAGCUUGACGGAGCAACGCCGCGUGAGUGAUGAAGGUCUUAGGAUCGUAAAACUAUGUUAUUAGGGAAGAACAAAUGUGUAAGUAACUAUGCACGUCUUGACGGUACCUAAUCAGAAAGCCACGGCUAACUACGUG